GCACUGUUGAGAAGUCCCAUAAUAGGACGAAACGGCCGUUCAGUGC
Non-coding RNA from Schistosoma haematobium, 46 nucleotides. Lineage: Eukaryota; Metazoa; Platyhelminthes; Trematoda; Strigeidida; Schistosomatidae. The record is from Rfam.